GCCUUGGUGGCGGAAUUGGCAGACGCGCUGGAUUCAAAAUCCAGUGAGGGCAACCUCAUGGGAGUUCGAGUCUCCCCCGGGGCACCA
Molecule: transfer RNA, 87 nt
Filed under: Oligoflexia bacterium
Lineage: Bacteria; Pseudomonadati; Bdellovibrionota; Oligoflexia
Description: tRNA-Leu
Rfam family: tRNA
About the family: Transfer RNA (tRNA) molecules are approximately 80 nucleotides in length. Their secondary structure includes four short double-helical elements and three loops (D, anti-codon, and T loops). Further hydrogen bonds mediate the characteristic L-shaped molecular structure. tRNAs have two regions of fundamental functional importance: the anti-codon, which is responsible for specific mRNA codon recognition, and the 3' end, to which the tRNAs corresponding amino acid is attached (by aminoacyl-tRNA synthetases). tRNAs cope with the degeneracy of the genetic code in two manners: having more than one tRNA (with a specific anti-codon) for a particular amino acid; and 'wobble' base-pairing, i.e. permitting non-standard base-pairing at the 3rd anti-codon position.
Source: RNAcentral